RNAcentral lists this ribosomal RNA (506 nucleotides) under uncultured bacterium. Its description in RNAcentral is "partial 16S ribosomal RNA". It matches the Rfam family "Bacterial small subunit ribosomal RNA", at positions 29 to 523 of the family's 1533-position model. The record is from RNAcentral.
AGUGAACGCUGGCGGUAGGCCUAACACAUGCAAGUCGAACGGCAGCACAGGAGAGCUUGCUCUCUGGGUGGCGAGUGGCGGACGGGUGAGGAAUACAUCGGAAUCUACUUUUUCGUGGGGGAUAACGUAGGGAAACUUACGCUAAUACCGCAUACGACCUACGGGUGAAAGCAGGGGACCUUCGGGCCUUGCGCGAUUGAAUGAGCCGAUGUCGGAUUAGCUAGUUGGCGGGGUAAAGGCCCACCAAGGCGACGAGCCGUAGUUGGUCUGAGAUGAUAGUCGAGCAGACUGGAACUGAGACACGGUCCAAACUCCUACGGGAGGCAGCAGUGGGGAAUAUUGGACGAUGGGCGCGAGCCUGAUCCAGCCAUACCGCGUGGGUGAAGAAGGCCUUCGGGUUGUAAAGCCCUUUUGUUGGGAAAGAAAUCCAGCUGGCUAAUACCCGGUUGGGAUGACGGUACCCAAAGAAUAAGCACCGGCUAACUUCGUGCCAGCCGCCGCAGUAA